CGAAGGUGGGGCUGAUGACUGGGGUGAAGUCGUAACAAGGUAGCCGUACCGGAAGGUGCGGCUGGAUCACCUCCUAACAGGGAGACAAAACUGAUUAUUGAUGUCUGAUAUUUAAUUUCAGGCCAUAAUCCUGUCACCUUAGGUCGAUCGGUACCUCAGAUUAAAGAUUUUGAAAAAUGAGAAAUCAGUUUAUCUAUAGUCUUUAAUUUCAGUUCCUAAACUUGUCUAGGUCACACCCAACAGACUUUCUCCUGGGCUAUUAGCUCAGGCGGUUAGAGCGCACCCCUGAUAAGGGUGAGGUCCCUGGUUCAAGUCCAGGAUGGCCCAUUCGUUGUUGGGGGUAUAGCUCAGUUGGUAGAGCGCCUGCUUUGCAAGCAGGAUGUCAGCGGUUCGAGUCCGCUUACCUCCACUGAUCAACUACCUGAUAACUCAAUUGGAGAUUGUCAUUUGUUUUAGUGACUUAGAUGUUGUUCAUCUGAAUGAACCUAGCUUCCUGUCAUCCCUUAAUUAUUUUGAUUUAGGUUGAUAAGACGCUGGGCUCACUGAUAUUUGAAAAAUUAUCAGUUUGUUUCAGCAGAACCUUGACAACUGCAUAAGAAAAGUCUGGAAAAAAAAGCAUCUCAUAGAUUUAUAGAAGCUUUUGAUUUGGUUUUACUAAAUCAAAAUGUUUUUAUAUUCAAUUCUUGAGUUAGAGCAAAACUCUAUAGCUGAUUACUUAGCAAAUAAGUGAUGAACUAAUUUCGAAUUAGUCAGUUAAUAGAUUAAUAAAUGGUCAAGCUACAA
Molecule: unclassified non-coding RNA, 783 nt
Filed under: uncultured Prochlorococcus sp.
Lineage: Bacteria; Bacillati; Cyanobacteriota; Cyanophyceae; Synechococcales; Prochlorococcaceae
Description: partial 16S-23S ribosomal RNA intergenic spacer; may also contain 16S ribosomal RNA and 23S ribosomal RNA
Rfam family: tRNA (bases 337-409)
Source: RNAcentral